Molecule: ribosomal RNA, 377 nt
Filed under: Sordariomycetes sp. 2350 RO-2014
Lineage: Eukaryota; Fungi; Ascomycota; Sordariomycetes
Also listed under: 1 other name
Description: LSU rRNA
Rfam family: Eukaryotic large subunit ribosomal RNA
Source: RNAcentral
CCGAGUUGUAAUUUGUAGAGGAUGCUUUUGGUGAGGUGCCUUCUGAGUUCCCUGGAACGGGACGCCAGAGAGGGUGAGAGCCCCGUAUAGUCGGCCACCGAUCCUCUGUAAAGCUCCUUCGACGAGUCGAGUAGUUUGGGAAUGCUGCUCAAAAUGGGAGGUAUAUCUCUUCUAAAGCUAAAUAUAGGCCAGAGACCGAUAGCGCACAAGUAGAGUGAUCGAAAGAUGAAAAGCACUUUGAAAAGAGGGUUAAAUAGCACGUGAAAUUGUUGAAAGGGAAGCGCUUGUGACCAGACUUGUGCCGGGCUGAUCAUCCAGUGUUCUCACUGGUGCACUCGACCCGGCUCAGGCCAGCGUCGGUUUUCGCGGGGGGAUAA